RNAcentral lists this ribosomal RNA (480 nucleotides) under uncultured bacterium. Its description in RNAcentral is "partial 16S ribosomal RNA". It matches the Rfam family "Bacterial small subunit ribosomal RNA", at positions 30 to 507 of the family's 1533-position model. The record is from RNAcentral.
AUUGAACGCUGGCGGCAGGCUUAACACAUGCAAGUCGAACGAUGAAACUCUAGCUUGCUAGAGAUGAUUAGUGGCGGACGGGUGAGUAACAUUUAGGAAUCUGCCUAGUAGUGGGGGAUAGCUCGGGGAAACUCGAAUUAAUACCGCAUACGACCUACGGGUGAAAGGGGGCGCAAGCUCUUGCUAUUAGAUGAGCCUAAAUCAGAUUAGCUAGUUGGUGGGGUAAAGGCCCACCAAGGCGACGAUCUGUAACUGGUCUGAUAGGAUGAUCAGUCACACCGGAACUGAGACACGGUCCGGACUCCUACGGGAGGCAGCAGUGGGGAAUAUUGGACAAUGGGGGCAACCCUGAUCCAGCCAUGCCGCGUGUGUGAAGAAGGCCUUUUGGUUGUAAAGCACUUUAAGCAGGGAGGAGAGGCUAAUGGUUAAUACCCAUUAGAUUAGACGUUACCUGCAGAAUAAGCACCGGCUAACUCUGUG